Molecule: ribosomal RNA, 789 nt
Filed under: uncultured bacterium
Lineage: Bacteria
Description: bacterial SSU rRNA
Rfam family: Bacterial small subunit ribosomal RNA
Source: RNAcentral
UUGGAAACGAGGGCUAAUACCGGAUAAUCUUGAGAAGUGGCAUCACUUUUUAAGGAAAGGUGGCCGAUGAGAAUGCUACCGAUUAUGGAUGGACCCGCGUCUGAUUAGCUGGUUGGUGGGGUAAAGGCCUACCAAGGCGACGAUCAGUAGCCGGCCUGAGAGGGUGAACGGCCACACUGGGACUGAGACACGGCCCAGACUCCUACGGGAGGCAGCAGUGGGGAAUCUUCCGCAAUGGACGAAAGUCUGACGGAGCAACGCCGCGUGUAUGAUGAAGGUCUUCGGAUUGUAAAGUACUGUCUUUGGGGAAGAGAAGAGUGCUUGAGAAUAUUGAGUACAAAUGACGGUACCCAAGGAGGAAGCCCCGGCUAACUACGUGCCAGCAGCCGCGGUAAUACGUAGGGGGCAAGCGUUGUCCGGAAUUAUUGGGCGUAAAGGGCGCGUAGGCGGAUAAUUAAGUCCGGUGUGAAAGAUCAGGGCUCAACCCUGAGAGUGCAUUGGAAACUGGCUAUCUUGAGGACAGGAGAGGAAAGUGGAAUUCCACGUGUAGCGGUGAAAUGCGUAGAUAUGUGGAGGAACACCGGUGGCGAAGGCGACUUUCUGGCCCUAUACUGACGCUGAGACGCGAAAGCGUGGGUAGCAAACAGGAUUAGAUACCCUGGUAGUCCACGCUGUAAACGAUGUUCACUAGGUGUUGGGGGUAUUGACCCUUCCAGUGCCGCAGCUAACGCAUUAAGUGAACCGCCUGGGGAGUACGGUCGCAAGAUUAAAACUCAAAGGAAUUGACGG